This 2680-nucleotide long non-coding RNA is filed under the name Lynx pardinus (Iberian lynx). The record is from RNAcentral. Lineage: Eukaryota; Metazoa; Chordata; Mammalia; Carnivora; Felidae.
CGCGUCCGUGACUCCAGGAGAUGGCGCUGGGCUGCGGCCCCCGUUCUGGAUUUGAUCCUGAGAGACGGGGAGGGCUGGCUUGGGGUCUUGAAGGAGUGGGCCGCUGCCCCGCUUGGGCCGCCUCUUUCCGAGUCUUCUCCACCCUACGGCUGGUCGUCCACAGCUGCUUUGGGCCCCUGCAUUGGUUUUCCUCCUUUGGCUCACCCGGCCUAGAGUAGGUGAGACCUAAAGUUUGGCCCGAUUCCCUCUCAGGCCUCGGCAGGGGUUGGGGUCAGGGGCAGGCAGGGAAGGUGGGGUGAACUGGGCUCUGGGUGUAUGACAAGCUUCUUACUAGAUCUUCUUUCCCAGAAUGUCAGAGUUGAAAGUCACCUGGAGAGGGCCGCUCUCCACAAUCCCCAGACCCACCCACCCCCUACCCCCUCCACACCCAAGGUCUCCUGACUCCAACACUUACUAUCUGGUGUACUUGAGAAAUCAUUGCACUUUAUGAUUCAGUUUGUUCAUCUGUUUAAGUUGUGUUUAAGAGGGACUUCUCCCUGGGAUAUUGUGAGGAUUGUAGUCAAUAUUACUAGAUAAAAGAGGGUGACAGUGCUGGUCUGGAAACAUUUAUUGAGCACCCCAGUGUGCCACGCACAGUGCUGUGCUCUUGGGAGGAGGCACUGACACAAAGCCUUGUCAUCUGAGGGGUGACACUUGGUACACACACAGGUGAUGCAGGCUAUCCUAGUGGACAAACUAUAACGUAUUCUGGGAGGUGGGGGAGGUGAUUGGUGUCACCCAAAGCGUUUGAUGGCUUGAACUGGGUCCGGGGGAUGAAUAGAGGUUCUCUAGGGAGAGCAAGGGUGUGUGGGGUUUCUGAGGUGGGGGUCAGAUAGAGGAGGCCCAUAUGUGCCCUACAAAGGACUUUGUGGCCCUAAAGAGAGGACACCGAGAUGUUUAAUGAGAAGAGCGUGGUGAUCUCAGACAUACGGUUCAAGGGGUAAUGCAAGCACUGUGAGGACAGGUCAAAGUGGGGUGAGUAGGAGCCUCCAGCAUUGUGGGGUCAUCUGGGCAAGAGAAAAUGAGGCCCCUAGCUAAGAGGCUUGACCAAGGGGGAGAGCCAGGACUGUCUCCCAGGCUCCUGAUUCCAAGUUGGUGCUCUGAAGCACAGGCUUCUUCAGCCAUUUGGCAGGUGAACAAACAGGCUCACCCAAGCUUGCCCCAAAUCUCACUUAGUACUCACUUAGUACUGUGGUGUCACAGUGCAAGCCUGGCCCCCAAGACCCUUCAUCUCUAUUUCACUGCCCACAAGAGAAGCUCUUACUGGCGGGAAAAUGGAGUGUGGAGGUUGUGGGGAUGUGACAAGAUCCCACGUGGUAGGAUCCUGGGCAGGGGCGCCCCUGGGUGCCCGAGGGGGUCUUGGCAUCCACAGUGGCAGGUUGGGAGGAAGGGAGCUGGGGGCGUCGGAGGGGACCUGCACUCACAGAGCCCUUGCUCUCUGCCCAGCCUGUGCCACCACCUUGCUAGGUGCUGGAGACCUGUCCCUGCCCUCUGCCCUUCCUUAGAGUUUGUGGCUCCUUGGACAUCAGUGGCCCUCGGCCUGCCACCAGGUGGCUGCUGCAGUGUGGACUAGUAUUUAGUGGCAGAGAUGAAGAGAUUAAUCUGGGACUUGGGACAUCUGGAGCCCACAUGCCCCAACCCCAAGUUGUCUCAGGGGUUCAUGGGAUUGAUAAUCCUGGAGUGCUCCGUAGGGGGCUAAAAGGACUGGCUGAAAGCCUUGGACAAGUGCAGGGUGGCCCCACGGACUCCUCCCGCCUAGCCCCAGAGAGGUGACUGAGGGGUGGCUGGGCAGGGCCGUGUCAGAGCCCCAGACCUGACCCUCGUCUCUUUGUCUCCAUGAACAGAUGUGGAGUGGGCAGGACCUCUGGGCAGUGUGUGAGGCACAUCUGGGCACAGAGUCUAGGAAUGGGGCCCUCUGGGGCCCUGCCCACCGGCACGAGGACAUGUCCCCUAAGAAGACCUACCUCGGGAGGUGCCCUGCAGAGGGGACUGAUGCAGCCUGGAAUUGGAGGCCGGUUCUGUGCCCCGGUGGAAAAACUCCCCGAACCAGUUGGGAGUCAUGGCCAGAGAAGAGCUCGUCCUGGCUGCCUGGCCACAGACUUCCACUCUCAUGUGGCAGCAGGGACAGUGCCUGUGUGGAGAGCCAGCUUCUCUGCGCCUGCCUGGCCCAUCAGAGACAGCAAGUAACUGGCCCAAGAGAACACAGCAAAGUCAGCAGGAGGCCUGGCUCUAGAGGCGAAGCCUUUCCCCCAGGUGUGAACCAUACUUGCAAGGCUCCACUUUCCUUUCAGAGCAAUGGUUCUGAAGACUUUGGGGGUGUGAAACCCUUGGGAAAUCUAGCAAAGCUAUGAACCUUCUCCCCAGGAAAACGCGCAUACUUGCAUACUCACGGAGACACGAGAAUCUACAAACAAUGCCAGAGCUCCUGGACUCCUGGCUGAGAAUCUCAGCCCCAGGACAGAACCUGCCACUCUUUCCUUACCUACGACAGAUCCCUGGGUCAGGGCCGCCCCACAAGUAGCAUUUCUCCCUCCCCCUGCUGAACUUCCUUCCCUCACUCAGGAAUAAAGAAUUCUGAGGAGGGGACCCUUUUAGUCGCUCUCCUCCCAGGCCUCACGGGGCCUCAGGCUCCUGGAACCUC